GAUGAAGAACGCAGCGAAAUGCGAUAAGUAAUGUGAAUUGCAGAAUUCAGUGAAUCAUCGAAUCUUUGAACGCACAUUGCGCCCCCUGGUAUUCCGGGGGGCGUGCCUGUCCGAGCGUCAUUACAACCCUCAAGCUCAGCUUGGUGUUGGGCCCCGCCGCCCCGGCGGGCCCUAAAGUCAGUGGCGGUGCCGUCCGGCUCCGAGCGUAGUAAUUCUUCUCGCUCUGGAGGUCCGGUCGUGUGCUCGCCAGCAACCCCCAAUUUUUUUCAGGUUGACCUCGGAUCAGGUAGGGAUACCCGCUGAACUUAAGCAUAUCAAUAAGCGGAGGA
RNAcentral lists this unclassified non-coding RNA (329 nucleotides) under soil metagenome. Its description in RNAcentral is "partial contains 5.8S ribosomal RNA, internal transcribed spacer 2, and large subunit ribosomal RNA". The stretch from base 1 to 120 matches the Rfam family "5.8S ribosomal RNA", at positions 35 to 154 of the family's 154-position model. The record is from RNAcentral.